This 68-nucleotide transfer RNA is filed under the name Myotis davidii. It matches the Rfam family "tRNA". Rfam says of the family: Transfer RNA (tRNA) molecules are approximately 80 nucleotides in length. The record is from Rfam by way of RNAcentral. Lineage: Eukaryota; Metazoa; Chordata; Mammalia; Chiroptera; Vespertilionidae.
GGCCAGGUAGCUCAGCUGGCUAGAGCAUCAUCCUGAUAUGUUGAGGUUGCUAGUUCAAUCCCUGGUCA